UACGGGGGGGGCAAGCGUUGUUCGGAAUUACUGGGCGUAAAGCGCUCGUAGGCGGCCAACUAAGUCGGAUGUGAAAUCCCCAGGCUCAACUUGGGAACUGCAUCCGAUACUGGAUGGCUUGAAUUCGGGAGAGGGAUGCAGAAUUCCAGGUGUAGCGGUGAAAUGCGUAGAUAUCUGGAGGAAUACCGGUGGCGAAGGCGGCAGCCUGGACCAACAUUGACGCUGAUGAGCGAAAGCUAGGGGAGCAAACGGG
RNAcentral lists this ribosomal RNA (253 nucleotides) under uncultured bacterium. Its description in RNAcentral is "partial 16S ribosomal RNA". It matches the Rfam family "Bacterial small subunit ribosomal RNA", at positions 524 to 776 of the family's 1533-position model. The record is from RNAcentral.